Tachyglossus aculeatus (Australian echidna) is the source of this 137-nucleotide small nucleolar RNA. The record is from RefSeq and is a predicted model, not a curated record. NCBI's taxonomy places the organism in Eukaryota, Metazoa, Chordata, Mammalia, Monotremata, Tachyglossidae.
AACCUCUCAGGGUUGCACCUGAAGAGUUUCCAGUACUCUAUCAGUCUUGGCUACAAAAGGGAGAGUCAAGCAGAGGCAUACCCGUCCAUUCCUAGCUUGGCCAGUGGCUAGUGAGCGGAAGGCAAUCUGCUACAAGU